Molecule: ribosomal RNA, 484 nt
Filed under: uncultured bacterium
Lineage: Bacteria
Description: partial 16S ribosomal RNA
Rfam family: Bacterial small subunit ribosomal RNA
Source: RNAcentral
AUUGAACGCUGGCGGCAGGCCUAACACAUGCAAGUCGAGCGGAUGAAGGGAGCUUGCUCCUGGAUUCAGCGGCGGACGGGUGAGUAAUGCCUAGGAAUCUGCCUGGUAGUGGGGGAUAACGUCCGGAAACGGGCGCUAAUACCGCAUACGUCCUGAGGGAGAAAGUGGGGGAUCUUCGGACCUCACGCUAUCAGAUGAGCCUAGGUCGGAUUAGCUAGUUGGUGGGGUAAAGGCCUACCAAGGCGACGAUCCGUAACUGGUCUGAGAGGAUGAUCAGUCACAAUGGAACUGAGACACGGUCAAGACUCCUACGGGAGGCAGCAGUGGGGAAUAUUGGACAAUGGGCGAAAGCCUGAUCAAGCCAGGCCGCGUGUGUGAAGAAGGUCUUCGGAUUGUAAAGCACUUUAAGUGGGGAGGAAGGGCAGUAAGUAAAUACCUUGCUGUUUUGACGUUACAAAAAGAAUAAGCACCGGCUAACUUCGUG